Molecule: long non-coding RNA, 244 nt
Filed under: Felis catus (domestic cat)
Lineage: Eukaryota; Metazoa; Chordata; Mammalia; Carnivora; Felidae
Description: lncRNA (ENSFCAG00000049394.1)
Source: RNAcentral
GCCAUCGGGGUCCCGGUCCCGAUCUCCAGGGGAACGCUUUGGGUGUUUCGUCGUCAAGUCUGACGCUUGCUGUGGGUUUCUUCUUACCAGCUUGAGGAAGUGCUCUUCUGUCCCCGAGUUCUGGAGUGUUCUUGUUUCACGAAAGGGUGUUCAGUUCCCAGAACCACUGGCGGAGGAGCGUUUCAAGUUUUUGCUCCUUCUCGAAGUUUGCCCUGAAUCAGCCUCUUCUCCUGGGACGGGACGU